Molecule: ribosomal RNA, 359 nt
Filed under: uncultured soil bacterium
Lineage: Bacteria
Description: bacterial SSU rRNA
Rfam family: Bacterial small subunit ribosomal RNA
Source: RNAcentral
AGAACGAACGCUGGCGGCAUGCCUAAUACAUGCAAGUCGAACGAACUCUUCGGAGUUAGUGGCGCACGGGUGCGUAACGCGUGGGAAUCUGCCCUUGGGUUCGGAAUAACAGUUGGAAACGACUGCUAAUACCGGAUGAUGACGAAAGUCCAAAGAUUUAUCGCCCAGGGAUGAGCCCGCGUAGGAUUAGCUAGUUGGUGAGUAAAGGCUCACCAAGGCGACGAUCCUUAGCUGGUCUGAGAGGAUGAUCAGCCAACUACUGGGACUGGAGAACACGGCCCUAGACUCCGUAACGGGAGGCAGCUAGUAGGGAAUAUGGACAAAUGGGCGACAAGACCUGAUCCAGUACAAACUGGCCG